This 2900-nucleotide ribosomal RNA is filed under the name Klebsiella pneumoniae BIDMC 47. RNAcentral describes it as "bacterial LSU rRNA". It matches the Rfam family "Bacterial large subunit ribosomal RNA". Lineage: Bacteria; Pseudomonadati; Pseudomonadota; Gammaproteobacteria; Enterobacterales; Enterobacteriaceae. The record is from RNAcentral.
UUAAGCGACUAAGCGUACACGGUGGAUGCCCUGGCAGUCAGAGGCGAUGAAGGACGUGCUAAUCUGCGAAAAGCGUCGGUAAGGUGAUAUGAACCGUUACAGCCGGCGAUGUCCGAAUGGGGAAACCCAGUGCAAUUCGUUGCACUAUCGUUAACUGAAUACAUAGGUUAACGAGGCGAACCGGGGGAACUGAAACAUCUAAGUACCCCGAGGAAAAGAAAUCAACCGAGAUUCCCCCAGUAGCGGCGAGCGAACGGGGAGCAGCCCAGAGUCUGAAUCAGCUUGUGUGUUAGUGGAACGGUCUGGAAAGUCCGACGGUACAGGGUGAUAGUCCCGUACACCAAAAUGCACAGGCUGUGAACUCGAAGAGUAGGGCGGGACACGUGGUAUCCUGUCUGAAUAUGGGGGGACCAUCCUCCAAGGCUAAAUACUCCUGACUGACCGAUAGUGAACCAGUACCGUGAGGGAAAGGCGAAAAGAACCCCGGCGAGGGGAGUGAAAAAGAACCUGAAACCGUGUACGUACAAGCAGUGGGAGCACCUUCGGGUGUGACUGCGUACCUUUUGUAUAAUGGGUCAGCGACUUAUAUUCUGUAGCAAGGUUAACCGUAUAGGGGAGCCGCAGGGAAACCGAGUCUUAACUGGGCGUUAAGUUGCAGGGUAUAGACCCGAAACCCGGUGAUCUAGCCAUGGGCAGGUUGAAGGUUGGGUAACACUAACUGGAGGACCGAACCGACUAAUGUUGAAAAAUUAGCGGAUGACUUGUGGCUGGGGGUGAAAGGCCAAUCAAACCGGGAGAUAGCUGGUUCUCCCCGAAAGCUAUUUAGGUAGCGCCUCGUGAAUUCAUCUUCGGGGGUAGAGCACUGUUUCGGCUAGGGGGUCAUCCCGACUUACCAACCCGAUGCAAACUACGAAUACCGAAGAAUGUUAUCACGGGAGACACACGGCGGGUGCUAACGUCCGUCGUGAAGAGGGAAACAACCCAGACCGCCAGCUAAGGUCCCAAAGUCAUGGUUAAGUGGGAAACGAUGUGGGAAGGCACAGACAGCCAGGAUGUUGGCUUAGAAGCAGCCAUCAUUUAAAGAAAGCGUAAUAGCUCACUGGUCGAGUCGGCCUGCGCGGAAGAUGUAACGGGGCUAAACCAUGCACCGAAGCUGCGGCAGCGACACUAUGUGUUGUUGGGUAGGGGAGCGUUCUGUAAGCCUGCGAAGGUGACCUGUGAGGCAUGCUGGAGGUAUCAGAAGUGCGAAUGCUGACAUAAGUAACGAUAAAGCGGGUGAAAAGCCCGCUCGCCGGAAGACCAAGGGUUCCUGUCCAACGUUAAUCGGGGCAGGGUGAGUCGACCCCUAAGGCGAGGCCGAAAGGCGUAGUCGAUGGGAAACAGGUUAAUAUUCCUGUACUUGGUGUUACUGCGAAGGGGGGACGGAGAAGGCUAUGUUAGCCGGGCGACGGUUGUCCCGGUUUAAGCAUGUAGGCUGGUUAUCCAGGCAAAUCCGGAUAAUCAAGGCUGAGGUGUGAUGACGAGGCACUACGGUGCUGAAGUAACAAAUGCCCUGCUUCCAGGAAAAGCCUCUAAGCAUCAGGUAACAUCAAAUCGUACCCCAAACCGACACAGGUGGUCAGGUAGAGAAUACCAAGGCGCUUGAGAGAACUCGGGUGAAGGAACUAGGCAAAAUGGUGCCGUAACUUCGGGAGAAGGCACGCUGGUGUGUAGGUGAAGCCCCUGCGGGUGGAGCUGAGACCAGUCGAAGAUACCAGCUGGCUGCAACUGUUUAUUAAAAACACAGCACUGUGCAAACACGAAAGUGGACGUAUACGGUGUGACGCCUGCCCGGUGCCGGAAGGUUAAUUGAUGGGGUUAUCCGUAAGGAGAAGCUCUUGAUCGAAGCCCCGGUAAACGGCGGCCGUAACUAUAACGGUCCUAAGGUAGCGAAAUUCCUUGUCGGGUAAGUUCCGACCUGCACGAAUGGCGUAAUGAUGGCCAGGCUGUCUCCACCCGAGACUCAGUGAAAUUGAACUCGCUGUGAAGAUGCAGUGUACCCGCGGCAAGACGGAAAGACCCCGUGAACCUUUACUAUAGCUUGACACUGAACAUUGAGCCUUGAUGUGUAGGAUAGGUGGGAGGCUUUGAAGCGUGGACGCCAGUCUGCGUGGAGCCAACCUUGAAAUACCACCCUUUAAUGUUUGAUGUUCUAACGUUGGCCCCUGACCGGGGUUGCGGACAGUGUCUGGUGGGUAGUUUGACUGGGGCGGUCUCCUCCCAAAGCGUAACGGAGGAGCACGAAGGUUAGCUAAUCCUGGUCGGACAUCAGGAGGUUAGUGCAAUGGCAUAAGCUAGCUUGACUGCGAGCGUGACGGCGCGAGCAGGUGCGAAAGCAGGUCAUAGUGAUCCGGUGGUUCUGAAUGGAAGGGCCAUCGCUCAACGGAUAAAAGGUACUCCGGGGAUAACAGGCUGAUACCGCCCAAGAGUUCAUAUCGACGGCGGUGUUUGGCACCUCGAUGUCGGCUCAUCACAUCCUGGGGCUGAAGUAGGUCCCAAGGGUAUGGCUGUUCGCCAUUUAAAGUGGUACGCGAGCUGGGUUUAGAACGUCGUGAGACAGUUCGGUCCCUAUCUGCCGUGGGCGCUGGAGAAUUGAGGGGGGCUGCUCCUAGUACGAGAGGACCGGAGUGGACGCAUCACUGGUGUUCGGGUUGUCAUGCCAAUGGCACUGCCCGGUAGCUAAAUGCGGAAGAGAUAAGUGCUGAAAGCAUCUAAGCACGAAACUUGCCCCGAGAUGAGUUCUCCCUGAGACUUUAAGUCUCCUGAAGGAACGUUGAAGACGACGACGUUGAUAGGCCGGGUGUGUAAGCGCAGCGAUGCGUUGAGCUAACCGGUACUAAUGAACCGUGAGGCUUAACCUU